Molecule: ribosomal RNA, 520 nt
Filed under: uncultured Glomus
Lineage: Eukaryota; Fungi; Glomeromycota; Glomeromycetes; Glomerales; Glomeraceae
Description: SSU rRNA
Rfam family: Eukaryotic small subunit ribosomal RNA
Source: RNAcentral
AGCAGCCGCGGUAAUUCCAGCUCCGAUAGCGUAUAUUAAAGUUGUUGCAGUUAAAAAGCUCGUAGUUGAAUUUCGGGAUCAAUAUGUCGGUCGUGCUUCGGUACGUACUGGUGUUAUUGGUUUCUCCCUUCUGAAGAACCACGAUGUCAUUAAUUUGGUGUCGUGGGGAAUCAGGACUGUUACUUUGAAAAAAUUAGAGUGUUUAAAGCAGGCUCGCGCUUGAAUACAUUGGCAUGGAAUAAUGAAAUAGGACGUUUGAUUCUAUUUUGUUGGUUUCUAGGAUCGACGUAAUGAUUAAUAGGGAUAGUUGGGGGCAUUAGUAUUCAAUUGUCAGAGGUGAAAUUCUUGGAUUUAUUGAAGACUAACUACUGCGAAAGCAUUUGCCAAGGAUGUUUUCAUUAAUCAAGAACGAAAGUUAGGGGAUCGAAGACGAUCAGAUACCGUCGUAGUCUUAACCAUAAACUAUGCCGACUAGGGAUCGGAUGAUGUUAAUUUUUAAUGACUCAUUCGGCGCCUUAAC